Molecule: long non-coding RNA, 2007 nt
Organism: Chelmon rostratus (copperband butterflyfish)
Lineage: Eukaryota; Metazoa; Chordata; Actinopteri; Chaetodontiformes; Chaetodontidae
Exons: 3
Source: RefSeq, a predicted model, not a curated record
CAAAAAUAGCGUCGUUUACAUGCAAAUAAGUGACGUUACAGCUGCGUGAAUAGAAGUCACUAGAUUACAGGAGACAGUGUGCAGGACUGACAUAUCCUGCCUGUCUGUGUGAUUAAUUAUUAUAUACCCUUGAUCAGUUAUCCACAGGAUUCACUCAAAAGUCCAACUAGAGUUGCUGUUUUAGUCUUUAAGUUAGUUAAGUGUGACCUGGAUGACUGAGAGCCUGCAUGUAAAACAAUUAAAUGAGUCUAUUCAUAGAGGAUUUUGGAUAAUGAUUGUGGUUUAAGAGCGUUGCAAUAUUCAGAUUCUUUAUUUUAGUAAAAUAUCAAUAUUGCAAUGUAAAAAUAUCCCAUUAGUUCCAGUUUUGCAAAAUGUAUCUUUCACAUUAAAAUGUCGAGUUAUAAAUAUUUGACAUGUGAGUGUGCAUCAGGGCUGACAGAUGAGUAUGUGACAGAUAAAUUCUGUACUUGGUUUUUAUGAUGCUGAGAUAUGAGAAUCCCCUUUCACAUGCUUCACUACUCAGUGUAAAAGACAAUUUCACCACCUUAUUGAUGCUGGAGUAACAAUACGGGUUCCUUGUACUUACCAGUUGGACCAAGUCAUAUGGAUAUGCCUGCUUUAAGCACAUCCAUUCUCCCACAGUGGAGCCUCUCUCCGGUUGCAAGGUGGUUUUUGUGAUGUUCUCUGAUCCAUCAAAGAGCAGGCCCCAAAAUUCAUCAGACUGCAACUCUGCUCUUAACUCCCCCAGUGAUAGUUGGUGCAAUGCCCUGCAUUAUUCAUGUUCCCCUUCGUGUGAAUGAUGUGCACCUGCGACAUUCACCCCUAGCCACUCCAGAGCUUCAUAUGCUACAUUGCCACAGCGUCAGCAAGAGAUCGCAACAUCUACAGUCAAUUGCGCUGAAAUUUGAAGCGGCGUCUUUUGAGCGUCUCAAUUGUGCGAUGAAAGCCUACACGACGCAACAAAGCAGAAUUGAUGUAGGGGCGAUGUAAUCCCAGUUUUAUCUUGCGCGCGAAUUGGUGUUGCUCAGACCGGUUCAGACCGGACUGAACCAGGGAGAAUCAGCAGGAGGAAGACUAAGUUGCAGGCAGAUGGCAGCAUUUCAUCCAGUCUUUGGAAAGAACGGUAAGGCGAAAAGUGUGAUUAAACAAUGUUUAGCGUGCUUUAAUGCUGGUUUACAUAAUUUCAGAAGGUUUCGACCUCCUAAUCAAAUAGGAAUCUACUACCUUUUUAGCUGGGCUAGACUAGAGAGCUAAGUUAGCUAGCAUUGAUAAAUAACUGUUGUUACAGCUAUUACAAUGAAUUCAUCUGCAUCUGCUGUCUUUUAAUGCAACGCUAGCUGCUCACAGGAAGGUAAAUUUAGCCAGUAAUGUUAAAACUAAUUGCUAAGGUAGUGUUGUGUGAAAUGGUGCAAUUUGAUAGCUUAAACUGUCUCUAUUCCAGGUUUCGUCAGCUUUGUUUUUCACCCCACGACAGACGAAUCACUCCUUCCAAUUCCACGGAUCGGUAGGGUGUGUAUGCAGAUGGGAAGCACGAAAGUCUGCUGCACCAAAGAAGACAGCCAACCAUGUAGAAACUGCAAAAACUGCCAGAGGAACGAUUAUGAUACCUGGAGCACCAGACACUGAUACAUAAGAUCCAGCACUUGUCACGACUGCAGAGGUCUAGAGAAAUGAUGACCAUGACAAAAUACCUGAAGAAUGCACCAGAGACCAGUGUUUUUUUUAAAUGUCUCUUUGUCUCUUUUAAGUGUUAAAUGGUUUAAAAUGUUGUAUUUAGCAACAUUCUGGCAUUAACAGGAGGAAAAAGUGAAGUUGUAACUGUUGUAGUAUAUUUUCCCACAACCCAUUUUUACAUAAAAUGGGACCUUUAAUAGUUGCCUGGACUUUCUGUUUCUUUUGUUCCAGUUUUACUGUUGUCACCUGAGCAGUGUCUCCCUCUCUGAAUAAAAAAAAAAUCUUUUUUCUGGGAAUCUCAUUUCAUCACAUUCACUGAGUUAUUUAGAGGCA